GUGGUAUCACAGCCGAGGUCUGAAGGACAGACAGGGAGAAAGAUGUGUCCGUGUGGGCCUGGGGUAUGAUGAGGAAUGGACACUGGAAUCCACAAUGUAAAGUAGAUAAUAAAAAAGAAUUGUGGGAUUAACUCUCUUCCUAAAGGAAUGAGAACAGCAAACCUGUCGUAGUCGUGGAAGUUAUGUUUUCAAACAAUCUUUAAUUUGAUGGGAUUAAAUAGAAAGAAAAUGGAAUUGUGAAAUUUGCAGGAAAGUGGAUAUUCCUCAAAAGUAUAAGCUAAAAGAAUUCAAACUCAGACAGAAAGCCCUGCACAUCCCCUUGGAUGCGAGUUCCAGUGUGAUGGAUACAUGUUCACGCGGGUCCUGCAGGCAGGUCAAGGCAGAUCAGAAAGACUGGUCUGGUGAGAGUAAACUUGGACUUGACCAUGGCUGCUGUUAUUUGGGACUGUUGCCACAUCCACAGAAAUGCAUGGACCAUGAAAGAGUCUGGGUGGUGACACCAGCAGGUCACUAAGAGUGUCACCAGAUUGGAGGAACUAGAAGUGGGAAGCUGUGCCUUCAUUCUUCUUGGUCAAAGACCAAAGCAUUCGUGAAGUUGAGGGUGAAUGAAAGAGAAGUAAAAAGGAAAAGAAAGACAUGACGGCUAUACGUACGCUGGAGGAGAAAGUUUGUCAUAGAUAUGUAUACCCAGAGGCAGACACACCAGGGAAGGAAAGGGAGAGAGAAGAGAGGGGAACCAGCUGCAGCAGCCAGAGACCGAAGAUACAAAAAGCAUGCGUAACCAAAAGGGUCUUCCAUCAACUUCUGGAGGGGAGCCAGGAACAACGGCAAGAGCUCGUAAUGGGGACUUUAUGAUAUUCCUCUGACCAACAACUUCAAACCACGGCCUCAUUCCUGGCACUUUGACUACCUCUGCUGUCCCAGAGGACAUCGAAAUUCUUUUUUAUACAUGUUUAUGUUUUAUGAAGUUUCCACAGUAGCAUGAUUCCACAUAUUUUCCCCAAAGGUCUCUAGUGUUAGCUAUCCUUCCAUAUACUCCCAAAGGUGGGUAUUUUAAAUAAAAAAAUUUAAGGACCUGCCCCUAGAGGCAA
Molecule: long non-coding RNA, 1091 nt
Filed under: Mus musculus (house mouse)
Lineage: Eukaryota; Metazoa; Chordata; Mammalia; Rodentia; Muridae
Description: predicted gene, 32561, transcript variant 2 (Gm32561)
Source: RNAcentral